This is a long non-coding RNA of Oncorhynchus nerka (sockeye salmon), 1906 nucleotides long. RefSeq lists it as uncharacterized. Lineage: Eukaryota; Metazoa; Chordata; Actinopteri; Salmoniformes; Salmonidae. The transcript has 8 exons. The record is from RefSeq and is a predicted model, not a curated record.
GGACAGCACAGCAGGUCAAAAUCAAAUACAAGAACAUUCUGCAGAAUGCAGUGAAAAAGAAUACCCACAGACAAGGCACGGGUGGUGGGUCACCAAAGGCUGACCUUACCCCAGCAGAGGACAUGGCCUUGGAGCUAAAUAAAGGCAGGCCCGUCUUAAGAGGGGAUCCCUGGGGGGAAAGAGACGAGCAUAGGUUCCUCCCAAGAUGCCACCCGCUUCAUUCAAGUGCCUGGCAGCACUGUGUUCCUGUUAGAGCCACCAGCACAAGCACCAGACGAUGCUGAUCCAGGUGAAGGCCCCAGUGCAGCAGCAACAGCACAUGAUGGAGACAAUGAUGAGGAGGAGACCAUCUCUCUGGAUUCCAGAAGGCAUGAGGACCCAGAUGCUAUACAGUGGGAAAACCAGCCUGGCAACAUAGUGCGUAUUAAUAAAAGGACACCACAUCCUGCCAAAUUCCAGCUGCGCUAAUUGUAUUGUGUUCACAGAGCUCACAAGCUAUCAGCAAGUUGUAUGGCAACCACCUCCGGCGCCAAAUAGAACUGGCAGACAUAGACAUUCAGUACAAGAAGAAAAAGAUGGAAAAUCUUGCACUGGAGUCCGAAAUAAAAAAGAGGACAAUUAGGAAACUGGACCUUGAAAUAAAAAAACUUGAGAGGGAGCUCCAAGAAGAUGACACAGCUCAAAAUAAAAAUUAGGUAUAUUCUCGUAAAGUCAAGUGAGCCAUGAGAUAUGAGCUCUUAUUGUGAGCACACAGGACGGUGGCAUCUUUCUAAGGUUUUUUUUUAUUUUCCCAUCAAUCAGUACAACCAAGUCAUCGUUAUAAGGCAUCGCCCUCUUUUGCCCACCCCCCCAGCACCAGGUGUGGCCACUAGCCUAUAUGAAGGCCCAAAAUUGUGUGUUCCUUUCUGCUCUGACAAUGGCAUGCCCAUUCGUGCGAGAUGUGGUGGAUGAAGAAGCACUUGUGCUGAGGAGAGCCUUCAGGCGAGAAAGGGUCUUCAGGGACCGGUUGGACCCACUGGCCAUCCCUGAUGACCAUCUAUAUGAAAGAUACAGGUUUUCUGCAGAUGGCAUCAGGUAUCUAUGCAGACUACUGGGUCCCAGGAUUAAGCACCGCACUGCACGGAGCCAUGCACUGAGUGUGGAGCAAAUGGUUUGUGUGGCCUUGCGCUUUUUGCUAGUGGAGCCUUCCUGUACUCAGUGGGGGAUGCAGAACAGCUGAACAAGGCCACAAUUUGCCGCACAAUAAGGAGUGUGUGUCUGGCUAUCAAAGCAUUAGCAGAUGUCUUCAUCUCCUUCCCUGGCCACAGAAGACUCUGUGACAUCAAAGAGGAGUUCUAUAGGAUUGCAGAUGGUCUGCAAUGCUGACUGUGUGAUCAGCAAUGUUGUGGCAAAAUGGCCUGGCUCAGUCCAUGACUCCAGAAUCUUUCGGGCCUCUGAAAUCUAUCAGUGCCUAUCACAAGGUGAAUUCUCUGGUGUGUUGCUGGGAGACAGGGGUAUGGCUGCCAGCCUUUUCUCCUGACACCUUUCACAGACCCCCAGGAAGCACAGCAGGCCUACAACCAUGCCCAUGCCAGGACCAGGGCCAGAGUUGAAAUGACCUUUGGCCUCCUGAAGGCACGCUUUCACUGCCUUCACAAAUUAAGGGUCAGCCCUGUUAGGGCAUGUGAUAUUACUGUGGCUUGUGCUGUCCUCCACAAUGUGGCCUGCCUGAGGAAGGAGAGGGCCCCAGAGUGCCACCAGCCAUGGACUGGGACAAUCCGGCAAUCUUCCCUGAUGACGACAGUGGUCGGCUGCUGAGGGACCAAUAUGUGUUGAAUUAUUUUAGUUAGUAUGUGUGCUUUCAAUUUUGGUUAAAUAUGUCCUGCGGUGGCAGAGGAAUUUGGGUUUUUUUGGGUUAGUUUUUGAC